UUUUCAACUGUUGGGAAUACUAAGUAUACCCAACGGUUUAUAAUUGUGGGGAAUACUUAGUAUUCCGAAUAAGGGAAAAGAUGCAUUUUAUACCUAAUUAAUAUUCUUGAUUGAAAAUUUGGGACAGGCGCUGGUUCGAAUAUUGGACCCAAGGCUGAUAAUUUCAAACCAAUAACCCUAAAUCUUCUCUCUCUCUCUCUCUCUCUCUCUCAACAAUAACCCUAAAUUUCAGAUGAGGAUACUCUCCCGACGGCAUAUCCUUUCUUCUCAGCUCCCGACGAUACUCUGCCCGACGAUUCCCCAAGUUGAAGCCCAUGGGAAGCCAAGUCGAAGCUCCUUUCUCCCCUGCUCCUUUUUGAGUUCUUAUCGGCAAUGUUGCUUCAAAAUGUGUAAUGCAGCGUGAACUAAACAAAAAUGAGUUGAACGGUGUUUAUGCAUUUAUAAAUCCUGCGACUGUGGCGUCUACUCAUGGCUUAUGGUACAACGAGCGUGUAGCUUUGCUUUUUCAGCGAUUGAGCAACAUACAUAGUUAUUCAUAGGUGGACAUGAAUGAUUGUUUUUUUGAGAUAUACACUCUAACUUGACCAAUGUAUAAAUGUGUUUUUUAAUAUAUAUUAUCUAACUUAACAAAUGUAUGAAUUUUCUUUUAUAAAAAUAUUAUUAAUGUUAUUAUAUUUUUUCAUUA
Cannabis sativa is the source of this 685-nucleotide long non-coding RNA. RefSeq lists it as uncharacterized. The record is from RefSeq and is a predicted model, not a curated record. NCBI's taxonomy places the organism in Eukaryota, Viridiplantae, Streptophyta, Magnoliopsida, Rosales, Cannabaceae. The transcript is spliced from 2 exons.